RNAcentral lists this unclassified non-coding RNA (311 nucleotides) under plant metagenome. RNAcentral's name for it is "partial contains 5.8S ribosomal RNA, internal transcribed spacer 2, and large subunit ribosomal RNA". The stretch from base 1 to 105 matches the Rfam family "5.8S ribosomal RNA", at positions 50 to 154 of the family's 154-position model. The record is from RNAcentral.
GAAAUGCGAUAAGUAAUGUGAAUUGCAGAAUUCAGUGAAUCAUCGAGUCUUUGAACGCACAUUGCGCCCCAUGGUAUUCCGGGGGGCAUGCCUGUCCGAGCGUCAUUGCUGCCCUCAAGCACGGCUUGUGUGUUGGGCCCCGUCCCCUCCCCCGGGGACGGGCCCGAAAGGCAGCGGCGGCACCGCGUCCGAUCCUCGAGCGUAUGGGGCUUUGUCACCCGCUCUGUAGGCCCGGCCGGCGCCAGCCGACACCCAACUUUUAUUUCUAAGGUUGACCUCGGAUCAGGUAGGGAUACCCGCUGAACUUAAGC